Molecule: non-coding RNA, 103 nt
Organism: Brassica rapa (field mustard)
Lineage: Eukaryota; Viridiplantae; Streptophyta; Magnoliopsida; Brassicales; Brassicaceae
Source: Rfam
CCAAUGUUUCUUGCUUAAAUGAGUAUUCCAUGAAAGUGAUUCUCACUCACGCAUGAGUUGGGUACUCUCUUCAUGAGAUGCUCAUUUGAGCAAGCAACGUUUG